GAAAAGCCUCAUCACCCCCCAUUGCUUAAGAACCUCUUAUCUUUAUCACUAGCCAUUAAUCAGUGACCACCGUUAUCAAAGCUCCAAGAUGCGCAUGAUGCAACUUCCUGGAUGGUGCUGAGCCUGUUUGUCAACAUGUGGAACCCACGUGUACUUAGGGCAAAUGGCAGACGGCCAACGGCAAUCUGAAACCCUGCCCCCUUCCCCUUCAAGUCAAGAAGACUAGCCAGCAGCGACAGUAGGUCUAUAGGUCGAUCCAUGUCUCUAGACACUUUUCACUACCCAGUGGUACCACUACCAACAAUUGCAGGCGACUGUAUCAGUAGUGUGUGAAUUUAAACCUUUGAUCAUCUCAGGCCAAGGAAGACUGGUGAAAGUUGACGUUUGCGGUUUACAUGUGUAGUGUAGUACCAAAAACUAUGUAACUGUUAUGAUGCUAUAGAUGGACUGAUAGUGUAUAAAUAGCUGAGGGUAUUUAUGUGAUAUUCUCUGUUGACUGUAUAAUUAGCAUAUGAUACUAUGGCUACCUGUUUUGACCCUCUCAUCAGAGGACUAUCAUUUGAUCAGGGUAUUAUGUGAUGCAACUGCUGUGAUUUUCUUAGUGGAUUGUACCAAUAGCAUAGGAUACCAAAGUUAAACUGUUGUGAUCCUUUUAGUAAAAUGUAUAAUUAGCCUAGGGAACUAAUGGAACUUCUUGUUUGCAUGUUCCAAUCUUAAAAGGGUGAUUUGUGUUUUAGAAAUUGACAUUGUGUAACUUUCGGAGUCUAGUGUUUUGUUGUGUAAUUUGUGCAAAAAAUCUUGACUCUUAAAGCUUUUUAUACAAAUGUCAAAUUGCAGCAAACACAUUU
Molecule: long non-coding RNA, 848 nt
Organism: Magallana angulata
Lineage: Eukaryota; Metazoa; Mollusca; Bivalvia; Ostreida; Ostreidae
Exons: 4
Source: RefSeq, a predicted model, not a curated record